This 398-nucleotide ribosomal RNA is filed under the name uncultured bacterium. RNAcentral's name for it is "partial 16S ribosomal RNA". It matches the Rfam family "Bacterial small subunit ribosomal RNA", at positions 523 to 918 of the family's 1533-position model. The record is from RNAcentral.
AUACGUAGGGUGCGAGCGUUGUCCGGAAUUACUGGGCGUAAAGAGCUCGUAGGUGGUUUGUCGCGUCGUCUGUGAAAUUCCGGGGCUUAACUCCGGGCGUGCAGGCGAUACGGGCAUAACUUGAGUACUGUAGGGGAGACUGGAAUUCCUGGUGUAGCGGUGAAAUUCGCAGAUAUCAGGAGGAACACCGGUGGCGAAGGGGGGUCUCUGGGCAGUAACUGACGCUGAGGAGCGAAAGCAUGGGUAGCGAACAGGAUUAGAUACCCUGGUAGUCCAUGCCGUAAACGGUGGGCGCUAGGUGUAGGGGUCUUCCACGACUUCUGUGCCGUAGCUAACGCAUUAAGCGCCCCGCCUGGGGAGUACGGCCGCAAGGCUAAAACUCAAAGGAAUUGACGGGG